RNAcentral lists this microRNA (17 nucleotides) under Corchorus capsularis. RNAcentral's name for it is "sRNA CCACVL1_12243". Lineage: Eukaryota; Viridiplantae; Streptophyta; Magnoliopsida; Malvales; Malvaceae. The record is from RNAcentral.
AAAAAUACACACACACU